RNAcentral lists this transfer RNA (721 nucleotides) under uncultured cyanobacterium. Its description in RNAcentral is "partial miscellaneous RNA". The stretch from base 253 to 325 matches the Rfam family "tRNA". The record is from RNAcentral. Lineage: Bacteria; Bacillati; Cyanobacteriota.
CAGGGAGACAAACAAUAGAUUGUGAUGUCUAAGUUAACUAUUCUUAGGCCAUAAUCCUGUCACCUUAGGUCGAUCGGUACCUCAGAUUUAUAACUAGGCUAAUAAUUAGUUUGGUCUUUGAAUUUCAGUUCCUAAACUUGUCUAGGUCACACCCAACAAGGGUUCUCCUGGGCCAUUAGCUCAGGUGGUUAGAGCGCACCCCUGAUAAGGGUGAGGUCCCUGGUUCAAGUCCAGGAUGGCCCAUUCGGUUUUGGGGGUAUAGCUCAGUUGGUAGAGCGCCUGCUUUGCAAGCAGGAUGUCAGCGGUUCGAGUCCGCUUACCUCCACUGAUCGACCUCUAAUAUCGUCUCUGAGGAGAUAAUCUUUAAUUGAUGUGACUUAGACCUGUUCACUGAUGAACCUAGCUUCUUAUCAUCCCUAAUCUCAAAUGUAUAGAGGUUGAUAUGACGCUGGGCUCUCAUAAACAUAUUUUAUGUUUAUGGAAAGUUCAGUAGAACCUUGACAACUGCAUAGGUAAGUUUGAAAAGAAUAAAGCAUCUCAUGGAUGCAUUAAUCUGGCAGCCUUUUAAAAGGUUCAAAGAUUAAUGUCUAAUUCUUGAGCAAUAAGAGCCAAGACUCUUUAUUCUGUAUUUAAUGAUUUAUCUCAUUAAAUAUUUUUAAAUUCGUUUAUUCUUUAAACGAAUUUUAAAAGUGUUUUAAACAUCAUUUUAAAGAGAUUUAAU